UUCGAGAUGGCGGGGUUCUGCGCAGCUAAAAGGCCACUCCAGUUCCAGCGCGGUGCGCAUGCGCGAACGGUCGAGUGUAUUUCUGGACAAACGAUCCAGUGGAAUUGGAACAGGAACGGUCGUGAAUCAGGACUGGCACGAGCUAGAGGUGGCAAUAAACGCAAGAUGGCGGGUACGCGAUGAAACGGUGUUACGCCGUGGAUGGAUCAUUGUCAAUUUUUCACGGACAGCGCGUCCGUUCUGUGUGAUAUUCGCGUUGGUAUGGGGCCGGGGGCGUUUCUACAUGUGCCGCGUGCUGAUAAACGACGCGCGUGCCUUUCGUGAUUCCGCGAAUCGCUGAGGAGAAACAUUCGCGAGCAAGCACCGAACGCGAGACAGGACGAAACGUGUGUGCGCGCUCAGUGAAAGUAAACAAACGGUAUGAGUGCUGUACUGGGUAGUGUCGGUGACCCGGGCGGUCUCUUGGACCCCGACGUUGAGAGCAUCCUCGAGGAGAAGAAUCAAUUGAUCAGCCGGCAAUAUGCAGAGAUCGAGCGGUUGCAACGUGAGCUCACGGAGGUCAUCGGUGAACGGGACGCCCUGCUCUGCGAGGUGUCAAAAUUCAAGUUUGAGCGCGAGAUGACCGACCUGACGCGUCUACUCGAUGACAGCUUCCCUCAGAAAAUGGAGAGGCCAUCGCAGCAUGCCGCGAACGUGAACCAGGUGCACAGCAGCGGCAUGCACGGGGUGUACUCGUCCGGCAGCCAAACAUCCCUGACGACGUCGUACAUCACGGGCCAGUCAUAUGUUCAGAAUCAGAAUUACGCCCACGGUCCGUACAACUCGUCGUCCAAUGUGCGGGUGUACGCUCAUGCGGGGUACAAUCAGCCCCAAAGCUACGGCACCAUGGUGCAGGGCUACGGCGGUCAACCUCAGGCAACAGGGUAUCAACAAAAUCACCUUAAAAAAGGACCUGUACGUAACGGAGACGUGCUGAAGAGAUGUCGCCUUCAGACUGCGUACGAGCUGUCUCAGGACCUCCUAGACAAGCAGAUCGAGAUGUUAGAGCGAAAAUACGGCGGUGUGAAGGCCAGGAACGCGGCGCUGACCAUCCAACGCGCGUUCCGAAGAUACACACUGCUGAAGAAGUUCGCGGCGAUCACCGCGAUGGCAAAGGCGGAGAAGAGGCUCAGCAGGAAGCUGCAGGAGACGGAUCGAGCGACGGGCAUGAACGAGCACGAGAAGAUGGCCUACCACAGUCAGAUUUAUAUCCAGCAGCCUCAGACCGCGAACAGACCCAUGCCCAUCAGGAGCAUGUCCCUCAGAGAGAGGAGGCACGCGGAGAACUCGCAGUCGCCGAUACCCAGAAGUCAGAGCGGCAGGUGCGAGGUUCAGGUCACGGGUCAUCAGCACGCGAAUCAUAAUAUUCAUCAGAGCGGCAGACACACGCCCUCCUUGGCGCCCAGUCCUUGCAACAGACAUCAGCAGCUUCCUCCCAGUCCGUGCUGGGAGUCCAGCUCCCAGGAAAGCGGCUCUAGCAUCCAUUAUUACAACCCACAGGAAGCCCUUUGUGGCAUCAGACAAGAGACACCUCCGCGGGACUUGCUUCGAACGCCGUGCACGUCGCCGUCGACGCCUCACAAUCUCCAAACACCGAUCCCUCAAAACUGGAGCAAUACCAGUCAUCUGGGCUCCGCCGGGCGAACGAGAGGAUCCGCGAAAAAGGUCCCGCCGGAAGUGCCAAAAAGAACGUCUUCCAUUACGUCCAGGUCCAUGGAACCGCGUCACAAUGGUUUGAGCAAGAGCGUCGAGAACGGUAGCCUGAGCUCGGUCCAGAGCUCUGGCAGCGAUUCCACUAAUUGCGAGAGCUCAGAGGGAGACGCUCAAAGAGGAUCACCUGUGUGGAAGCAUAAAGGAAUCUCAAGCUCGCCGGAACAUCAGGAAUGCGCGAAUCACGCGACAGACUCAGCCACCAUGAUGAACAGCGUAAAAGAUAUGGGUCAUUCACACGCCAGCUCCGGUUACCAGCUUCCAUUGAUGGACCAUCAAGAGAGUAUACCACAAACGAGCUACAAAGUAUCGGAGACCGUCAGAAAACGUCAAUACAGAGUAGGCCUAAAUCUGUUCAACAAGAAGCCCGAACGGGGAAUCAGUUAUCUGAUCAGACGAGGAUUCUUGGAGAACAGUCCGCAGGGUGUAGCCAGAUUCUUGAUCAGCAGAAAAGGAUUGUCCAAGCAGAUGAUAGGAGAGUACCUUGGGAACUUGCAGAACCCCUUCAACAUGGCUGUGCUUGAAUGCUUCUCCCACGAGCUGGAUCUGUCUGGAAUGCAAGUGGACGUAGCCCUAAGGAAAUUCCAAGCAUACUUCCGGAUGCCUGGCGAAGCCCAGAAGAUAGAACGACUGAUGGAGAUCUUCAGUCAACGUUAUUGCCAAUGCAAUCCAGACGUGGUGUCCAGGCUACGUUCAGCAGACACCGUCUUCGUCUUGGCGUUUGCUAUAAUCAUGCUGAACACAGAUUUACAUACUCCAAACCUGAAGCCGGAACGCAGGAUGAGGUUGGAAGACUUCAUCAAGAAUCUCAGAGGCAUAGACGACUGCGGGGAUAUUGACAGAGACAUAUUAAUGGGCAUCUACGAGAGAGUGAAGGAGAACGAAUUUAAGCCUGGAUCUGAUCACGUUUCCCAAGUGAUGAAGGUUCAAGCGACGAUAGUGGGCAAGAAGCCUAACAUGGCGUUGCCGCACAGAAGAUUAGUCUGCUAUUGCAGGCUGUACGAGAUCCCAGAUAUACACAAAAAGGAGAGACCAGGUGUUCAUCAACGAGAAGUGUUCCUCUUUAAUGAUCUUCUCGUUGUGACCAAGAUCUUGAGCAAGAAGAAGAACAGUGUCACCUAUACCUUCAGACAGAGCUUCCCACUUUGCGGAAUGGUCGUCACCCUGUUUGAAGUUCCACAUUAUCCGUACGGAAUUAGACUCUCCCAACGCGUGGAUGGAAAGGUUUUGGUCACAUUCAACGCGAGGAACGCGCACGACAGGUGCAAGUUCGUGGAGGAUCUCAGGGAAUCUAUCAGCGAAAUGGACGAAAUGGAGACCUUACGGAUUGAGACAGAAUUAGAACGACAGAAGAGCAGUAGAAGCGCCAGAGGAGGCGCAGAGAACCGGGAUUCUGGAGUAGCGGAUGUGGAGAUAUGUCCUUGCCCAGGUCCCUGCUCGGAGAGGUCAGAAACCACCGACACGGACACGCAAUUGAAACGCUCUGCUCUUAGUAACUCGCUCCUGGAUAUACAUGAGCAGUUUGCCGGUGAGAAACCACAACGACGUGGAAGCGUGGGCUCCCUAGAUAGCGGUAUGUCGAUUUCUUUUCAAUCUACAUCUGCCAGCUCAAUGAGCCAAGGCAUUAAACAUCCUGGACAUCCUAUACAUCCAGGGGCUACGAUCCCUGGUGGUGCUAAGGGACUGGCUCAGCAGCCAUCUUUUUUAGGGGGUCUCUUCGCCAAACGGGAACGAAAGCUUUCGCAAUCGGAGGAAUCAGGCCCCUACAGUCGCACCACGGAAGUAUAAUAUAUCCUUCCGGUGCUAUUUAACUGAUAACAGACCAAAUCGGAUUCCUACAAGGGGACGAGCACUGAUUAAUUAUCUAUCGAACGCGUAACUCAGAACUUCUUGAAAAGUGUAUACCAUUGGCGUAGCUAAAGGCGGACCUGGCCUUCCAUAGGUCCUCUUUCCAAUCCCUAAAUUCCCAAAUUUAAAAAUUGAUCAUAGUGGAUAUAAAGCGUUAAUAAUAGAGAACCCAAAGAUCUCAUUAACCCCGAGAAUAGUCACGCCACUGACCUGUACUUGUACCAUUCUUUAUUUCAGACUUUGGUGUUAUGGUAUGAAAAAAUUGAUAGUAGUAGUUUGAAAAGUAGUAGUAAAAUUUGAAGCCAAUGGUUCGUGCAGUCCCUUUGUUGGAUAAGACUCCUCUUGCUUUCCUCGACUUCUGAGAAAGCGAAGCACAUUUAACAUUGCACACGAACAGAAAGUACAACGCAGUUUGAAACUGGAAGGAAGAGCGAAAGUUACCCUAGGUUAAAAAUGAAACAUAGAAAGAAGUGCUUCGAGAAAUGAGCGAAGAAAGUUGGAAGGUAACAAGAUGUAAAUUUAUGAGAUUGGGCAGGAUCCAAUCGCUAUCAGUCCAAGAAGAGGAUUUGGCAAGACCCUGCUGGCACAUGUAUAAUAUUUAUUCAUCCAAAAAAGAAGUCGGAUACGUUUUCUUUCGUAUGGUAUUUAUAUAUUAUAAUUUCUAAUGGUGGGUCAAACUCGCGCCGAUCUGCGUUGUGUAUGUAGAUAAUAAUCGUUUUGUUCGCCGCUAAGAAUGAACCGGUUUUUAAGCAGGUUAUGUUAAGAAAGGAUAUUCUUAACGUAACGUGAGACAAAAAAAUGGAUAAAGCGGUUCAUGGAGAGUGGCUCUCGAGUAAUGUCGUGUUUUUUGCAAGUGUCGUCGACGUAGUUAUACUUGAACGAUUGUACAUAAUAGGUAUAUAACGAUAAUUGUAUGAUUACAAUAACUCUGUAACAAAACGUAGCCUAAGGAAACGAUAAGCAAUCCCUUUCAAUGUUAGGUGCAUGUUGAUGUCUAACAAACUUUUUAGUAUCACAGCAAUGGAAAUUUGAAUGUAGCAGUCUUGUAAGUAUUAACAUUUCGAAGGAAAGAGGAAAAGAAAGAAAUGUUUUUUUCAUUGUUGCGGUACAUUUGUAAUCAUCUGCAAGUUCUGGUAGUUCUGCUUGUGUGUUUGAAGUUGAACAGUUUCUUCAUUUCCUGUUUCCAAAACAGCGUAUUAAACGAAAAGUGAUAGGAAUUAGUUGGUUUCUCGUCUCGUAGCAUGUAGACAACUUUCAAGAUCACUUUAAUAAUGUUAUAAGGAUGAACGCGGGUGAACCGUAAGACAACUUGUAUGCCUUAUAUACUGCCACAAUUUUAUCAUUCGGGGAUGAGAAACUAAUUAAUCACUUUGCGAAUUAGAUAGUAGAGAAUUUUCAAACGCUGCGGAAUUACAUCGGAAAAUUUGGAUAUCUUGUAUAUAUCAGCGGUCGCAAUACGAAGUAAUAGUAAUAAAAAUAUAUAUAUAUAUAUAUAUACAUAUAUAUAUAUUCAUUAAUUUCAAUUCAAAGUGACUAAUCAACGGAGUUUCAUACACUGUACAUUACAAUUCAUUUCGGACCUUGGGAGUUUCUUUGUACCCUCAUAACGUUUUAUAUAAACAAAUUUAUUUUCAUAGUUCUUGAAAUUCACUUUUUUGCACUGCUGUCGAGCACUCUAACAUCUGUUUCCAAAUUGUAUUCUCUUAACCAAUUAUUUAACCCUUCGGCUGCUGUGAACAACUGCUUAUUUAACAGAAGUCUUCAAAGAAUACUCAUUCUUAAAAUAAAUAGAAUAGGGCAGCUAAGAAUUUAUACAUUUUAUCUUCCACGUUAACUCUUGGCUAUUCGUUGUCCUAUAAAUGAAAAGUCACUGUGCGUAGAGUUCAAUUGUUAUAAAAUUGUAAAAAUAUUUGAUUGUAUUCUUGAGGACAAAUCUUGCAAGGACUACACAUGUCUUUGGCAGCUGAGGGAUAACUUGAAUAACUGUUGGCAAAGUGUUUGCCAUGGACGUACAUAUGCUCCCAUUGAUCCGUAACAAUCUGUAGUCUUCAGCGUUAUUAAUUCUAGUCUUUCUCAUCAGGAGAAUUCUCCAGUAUGCUGUAAUAUCGCGAAAGAAACAAUUCCAUAAAACGUCAGGACAAACCUUGAUGUAGCUCGUAAGGAUGUGGAUACAAUAAAGAAUGUGAGAUCAACCAUAACUUAGGAUCGCGUCAAUUUGUGUGACGAAUAAGUGAAUUGCUCGUUCGGAUUACCGGAAUAUAUGUCAACUUAUGGAAAUGCUUCUGUGAUAAUCUUCUUACGAAUGAAAAAUAAGAAAAGACUGAUUAAGAAGACCAUGUUCUAAGUCGCCUGUUUACAGAGAAGUUCACGAGAAAGUAAAAUCCAUGUUCGUAGACACUCUCGCGACUCGUCCUUCCCUUCUGAUUCCUAUAUCGUACAUUCUAUGAAGAUUUUUAUAAAAGUCGAUCGGUUUCCAAUUUUUGGACGAGGACGAUAAGAAACACCAAACCCUUUUUAAUCAAACACUCAUGAAUCCACGUUUUCCAAAAUUGAACACACUUUUCUUACCCUUUAAAUAAAUUCAAUCCUUAGAAUUCCUUGCACUCUUAUAUAUAAUAAAUAAAAUUUUCAUUGGAUAUUGCAAGAAUAUAAAAUACAUUUUAUCAGUACAAAAAUAGAGAUGUAAAUUCGACAAUUAUUCGAAAAUAACGAGAAGAAGAACAGAAAAACUGAUUGUACGACAUCGAAGCAAUACAACGUUGUGAAACAUAAUUACAUACAGUUCGAUUUGACGCGAUCUUCGAAAAUGAAUUGCGACACGCGUACCAAUCGUGUCGAUAAAACUUGGCGCAUUCGAUAAAAAUUUGAUGAGAAAGUAAAUCACUACGUUAUUAUUAAGAGAUAACAAUCGCUCCCCUUUGUUAAUCUAACGAAAGCUGUAUGCACAUUGUGUUAAUAAAGAACUAUGAGUCUGAAACGAGUAAACUAA
Molecule: unclassified non-coding RNA, 6586 nt
Filed under: Megachile rotundata (alfalfa leafcutting bee)
Lineage: Eukaryota; Metazoa; Arthropoda; Insecta; Hymenoptera; Megachilidae
Description: iQ motif and SEC7 domain-containing protein 1, transcript variant X3
Source: RNAcentral